This 460-nucleotide ribosomal RNA is filed under the name uncultured bacterium. Its description in RNAcentral is "partial 16S ribosomal RNA". It matches the Rfam family "Bacterial small subunit ribosomal RNA", at positions 338 to 795 of the family's 1533-position model. The record is from RNAcentral.
CCUACGGGAGGCAGCAGUGAGGAAUAUUGGUCAAUGGGCGCGAGUCUGAACCAGCCAAGUCGCGUGCAGGAUGACGGCUCUAUGAGUUGUAAACUUCUUUUGUAAGGGGGUAAAGUGCGGUACGUGUCCCGCGUUGAAAGUACCUUACGAAUAAGGAUCGGCUAACUCCGUGCCAGCAGCCGCGGUAAUACGGAGGAUCCGAGCGUUAUCCGGAUUUAUUGGGUUUAAAGGGUGCGUAGGCGGUUUGAUAAGUUAGCGGUGAAAGUCGGGGGCUCAACCCCAGAACUGCCGUUAAUACUGGUGGACUUGAGAAUGGUUGAGGUAGGCGGAAUGCGUGGUGUAGCGGUGAAAUGCUUAGAUAUCACACAGAACACCGAUUGCGAAGGCAGCCUACCAAACCAUAACUGACGCUGAGGCACGAAAGCGUGGGUAUCGAACAGGAUUAGAUACCCCAGUAGUC